AAGACCCCUUGUAGACGACGAGGUAGAUAGGUUGGAGGUGGAAGUGCAGCAAUGCAUGGAGCUGACCAAUACUAAUCGGUCGAGGGCUUAUCCAAAA
This 97-nucleotide ribosomal RNA is filed under the name Paenibacillus sp. XY044. RNAcentral describes it as "partial 23S ribosomal RNA". It matches the Rfam family "Bacterial large subunit ribosomal RNA", at positions 2830 to 2925 of the family's 2925-position model. The record is from RNAcentral. Lineage: Bacteria; Bacillati; Bacillota; Bacilli; Caryophanales; Paenibacillaceae.